GCCGGCAGCCAUAUCACCCUGCAGCCCAAAACUGGUCACCCACUGAAGCUAAGCAGGGUUGAGCCUGGUCAGUACCUGGAUGGGAGACAUCCUGGGAAAACUAGGUUGCUGCUGGAA
This 117-nucleotide ribosomal RNA is filed under the name Sinocyclocheilus rhinocerous. Lineage: Eukaryota; Metazoa; Chordata; Actinopteri; Cypriniformes; Cyprinidae. The record is from RNAcentral.